This 1079-nucleotide ribosomal RNA is filed under the name Vibrio neocaledonicus. RNAcentral's name for it is "bacterial SSU rRNA". It matches the Rfam family "Bacterial small subunit ribosomal RNA", at positions 341 to 1412 of the family's 1533-position model. Lineage: Bacteria; Pseudomonadati; Pseudomonadota; Gammaproteobacteria; Vibrionales; Vibrionaceae. The record is from RNAcentral.
ACGGGAGGCAGCAGUGGGGAAUAUUGCACAAUGGGCGCAAGCCUGAUGCAGCCAUGCCGCGUGUGUGAAGAAGGCCUUCGGGUUGUAAAGCACUUUCAGUCGUGAGGAAGGCGGUGUCGUUAAUAGCGGCAUCAUUUGACGUUAGCGACAGAAGAAGCACCGGCUAACUCCGUGCCAGCAGCCGCGGUAAUACGGAGGGUGCGAGCGUUAAUCGGAAUUACUGGGCGUAAAGCGCAUGCAGGUGGUUUGUUAAGUCAGAUGUGAAAGCCCGGGGCUCAACCUCGGAAUAGCAUUUGAAACUGGCAGACUAGAGUACUGUAGAGGGGGGUAGAAUUUCAGGUGUAGCGGUGAAAUGCGUAGAGAUCUGAAGGAAUACCGGUGGCGAAGGCGGCCCCCUGGACAGAUACUGACACUCAGAUGCGAAAGCGUGGGGAGCAAACAGGAUUAGAUACCCUGGUAGUCCACGCCGUAAACGAUGUCUACUUGGAGGUUGUGGCCUUGAGCCGUGGCUUUCGGAGCUAACGCGUUAAGUAGACCGCCUGGGGAGUACGGUCGCAAGAUUAAAACUCAAAUGAAUUGACGGGGGCCCGCACAAGCGGUGGAGCAUGUGGUUUAAUUCGAUGCAACGCGAAGAACCUUACCUACUCUUGACAUCCAGAGAACUUUCCAGAGAUGGAUUGGUGCCUUCGGGAACUCUGAGACAGGUGCUGCAUGGCUGUCGUCAGCUCGUGUUGUGAAAUGUUGGGUUAAGUCCCGCAACGAGCGCAACCCUUAUCCUUGUUUGCCAGCGAGUAAUGUCGGGAACUCCAGGGAGACUGCCGGUGAUAAACCGGAGGAAGGUGGGGACGACGUCAAGUCAUCAUGGCCCUUACGAGUAGGGCUACACACGUGCUACAAUGGCGCAUACAGAGGGCGGCCAACUUGCGAAAGUGAGCGAAUCCCAAAAAGUGCGUCGUAGUCCGGAUUGGAGUCUGCAACUCGACUCCAUGAAGUCGGAAUCGCUAGUAAUCGUGGAUCAGAAUGCCACGGUGAAUACGUUCCCGGGCCUUGUACACACCGCCCGUCACACCAUGGGAGUG